This is a long non-coding RNA of Nycticebus coucang (slow loris), 380 nucleotides long. RefSeq lists it as uncharacterized. The record is from RefSeq and is a predicted model, not a curated record. The transcript is spliced from 3 exons. NCBI's taxonomy places the organism in Eukaryota, Metazoa, Chordata, Mammalia, Primates, Lorisidae.
GCUUCUCCUGUCUGUUUUUCUGUCCCACAAGUACCAGCUACAUCAGCAGCUCCAAACUCCAGUCUCUGUUUUCUCUACCUGGACAAGAAGAAAAUAAAGCUGAUUGGGAUCCCCCAACAUCAAUCCCGGAGUUCUGGUUCAAAGGACGGUUGGGCGAGCUCUGCCCCGAGGUGGAGACGGAGUUUAAGAGCAGCUAGUGAAUAAUUGACCCGUGUGACUGGCAGAGGAAAUUGCUGAUCGCCUAUCACCAAGCCCAGGAGAAACCUUCUGGAAUGAGCCACAGCAUCUGCACAGGAGGGCAGAAGGCAGCCUGUGACCAUGCAAACAACAUCCUCAUUGCAGACACGAGCAAGUCAAGAAGAGGGCUGUCAUUCCUAGGA